UACAGGGGGGGCAAGCGUUGUUCGGAAUUACUGGGCGUAAAGGGUCUGUAGGUGGCUUGCUAAGUCAGACGUGAAAUCCCUCAGCUUAACUGGGGAACUGCGUCUGAUACUGGCAAGCUUGAGUGCAGGAGAGGAACGCGGAAUUCCAGGUGUAGCAGUGAAAUGCGUAGAGAUCGGGAGGAACAUCAGUUGCGAAGGCGGCCACCUGGACCAGCACUGACACUGAGGCACGAAAGCGUGGGGAGCAAACAGG
This 253-nucleotide ribosomal RNA is filed under the name uncultured bacterium. RNAcentral describes it as "partial 16S ribosomal RNA". It matches the Rfam family "Bacterial small subunit ribosomal RNA", at positions 524 to 776 of the family's 1533-position model. The record is from RNAcentral.